RNAcentral lists this ribosomal RNA (253 nucleotides) under uncultured bacterium. Its description in RNAcentral is "partial 16S ribosomal RNA". It matches the Rfam family "Bacterial small subunit ribosomal RNA", at positions 524 to 776 of the family's 1533-position model. The record is from RNAcentral.
GACAGAGGCCCCAAGCGUUAGGCGGAAUCACUGGGCUUAAAGCGUGUGUAGGCGGUCGUCCAAGUCGCGUGUGAAAGCCCCCGGCUCAACUGGGGAGGGUCACGCGAUACUGGUCGACUCGAAGGCAGGAGAGGGUAGUGGAAUUCCCGGUGUAGUGGUGAAAUGCGUAGAUAUCGGGAGGAACACCAGUGGCGAAGGCGACUACCUGGCCUGUUCUUGACGCUGAGGCGCGAAAGCUAGGGGAGCAAACGGG